Long non-coding RNA from Tachysurus fulvidraco (yellow catfish), 3009 nucleotides. RefSeq lists it as uncharacterized. NCBI's taxonomy places the organism in Eukaryota, Metazoa, Chordata, Actinopteri, Siluriformes, Bagridae. The transcript is spliced from 5 exons. The record is from RefSeq and is a predicted model, not a curated record.
AAUAUAUAGUUUUGAAUAUACUGUAGGACAUUUAUUAUACUUGGUACAUGGAAUACUUUAUUACAUAUUUUACUUUUUUACGGAAUUUGUAUUCUUUAAGUCUGUCGGAAAUUUAACUGAUCUGAAACAUGAUGCAUCUAAUUUUUAUUAUCUCAGGUCUGCAUAUUGCUGUGGCAAAUGUUUUUGUGAUUUUGUUCAGUCUGCUGGAUAUAUCAUUUUUUGUGCUCAUGGGAUUUAUCUUUCACGAUUUUAACCCAGGUAAGAAGCUCAGUAAAAUUCAGGAAAUCACACACUGGACCCCAAUAAAUGAAAUAUUCAAAAUCUUUACUUAUAUACAUUGUCUAAUUUGUUGAGAACAAAAAUGAUGUGGUGAUGGUCAAUGGAAACCACAAUCAACCAACUGAGAUUUGCAAUCGAAAACAAAUUAUUAUUUUUGGAACCAAAAAUCUAAUUACAGACAAUUCAAAGUUGCCUGAAUUUCAUCACAUCAACUCAUAACAUAAGUCAGUACUGUACAUGGCCCCACAUGCCUGUGUACCUAAGCUUGCUCCUGUGGGCAUGGUAGAUGUUUUCUGGGGAUCUCCUCCCACGCCAGGACUAGGGAAUCAACGAGCUUAUAAACAUUGUCUCCUGGACAUAGUCGAGUAGUCUGUAGUCUACUUGAUGGCUUUGGAUGCUUGCCUAAUUUUUGGGAAUUGUGAUUUGAUUUUUUCCCCAUCACGUUUUAUUGUUUAAAUUCUUUAUUCCAAACAGAACAGUGGAUAAUUAAUGAGUUCCAAUGUGUCUCACUUAAUAUAACCUCAUAUCAUCUCAAUAUUAUCAACCCAGUUUAUGUAUAUUUAUGUAAAUGUAUAUUUAAAAACAAAUGAAUGUUCCUGGUUUUAGUAUGGAUAUUUCCAAUUGAGUUGGUAAUCUAUAUCAUUGCGUGGCUAGCAGUGAUUGCUCUGCUGCAAAGUCAAUGAGAAGGAUGUUGCUUCCAAUGGAGAGGGCUUGGAUAUUUGUGUUGCAUUGUCAUUGUCUUGUUUCUAAUCAGUGCAAUUGGUGCACUCUGCCUUCAUUUUGCUACGCAGGAGUUGGAACAUAAUAAAGAUCGUGCUGGAUAUGUGGCUUUGGUCAUUUUACUCCAUGUUUUAGCAGCAACAUCGUUGUUCAAACAUCCAACACAUUUGCCUGAGUUUCUUCACGUUAUGAUCUUCAUGUUUGGAUCUGGAGGACUCGUUCUUGUAAAUUCACUCGUUAGGGUUAGGGUUAGGUACCAGAUCAGGUACCAGAAUGAAAUAUAACUAUUAAGUUCGAAGUCAGUUGAAUGUGCCAUGGUUUGUUAGCAGAGCAGCGGUUUGGUUGGUCUUCUCAUCCGGUUGCUGCUGCCAGGAUUUUAUUUUUAAAUAACUCUCUGGUUAAAACCUACCUAAAAUAUAUCCUUAUUUCACCUGGUUGCCAGGUCAUGUCCUGUGAACCGUCAUGUGUUAUGUCAUCAGAACUGGAAUCUUUUUGAAUAAGCUUUUCUAAAAGUUUAAUGUUGAUCUGUAUUAAUAUGCUGUAAGUAUUCAAUAAAUACUUCUAGGGAAAGGAGCACGGACUGUAGAAGAUCUACGUGUGAUCGUUUAACCGUUUGAAACCGCAUUUGUUUUGGCUUGGCUCGCUUUGCAAAUCUACAGUGCCCGUGAGUAAUGUCUAAAGCAAAUUAUUUAGUUUUCUGCACAUUUAUUAAAAUAAAUAUAUGUAGGAUUUAGAAUUUCUACAUAAAUUGUGUUUAUAAUUGAAUGUGUUCUGUAUAUGACACAGGGAUGAGAUUACAAGUCCGGUACGCUUUUUUUAUUUGUUUCUUUUAAAACUAAUUUUAAACAAAUUUUUAUUGAACCCAGAUAAAAAACAAUUAAAUUAGUCACUUUUUUCAUUAAGUCUCUUUGUUAUUGUUUAAAGAGAAUUAAAAAGAAUUUUGAAGAUGAGAGAGUACCAGCACCUGAGGAAAUGGAGGCUCUUCCUGUCCAACGUAUCUGUGAAGAUCAAUAAACUAUGAAUCUGCAUAAAAUAUCAUAACCCACACCUUAUCAGUGGAUUAUUGAAGAAACUGGUCAUAAGUUCUAAGAAAACACUGUGAAAUUAUCAUAUAUUUCCAGCUCAUAAAGGACUGUUUGAUUACUGUACUGUUUCCGUCCUUAUCACUCUAGUUCAUCUCUGUUUUAACAAAUAUUUACAGACAUGUUUAAUCCUAGAUGUUUAACCCAUUCCACUUUUUUGUUACCACUUUUCAAAUUGCUUCAGCAUUAAAGUCUUCAGUAUAUUGGACCCUUCACCCUAUAAAUAAAGAUGCUUCAUUUUAACCUUGUGGAUUAGCAAGUUAUGUGUAAAAAUUUAUUUUUCUUUUUAAAUUGGUAUAAAGCAGAUUUAUGGAUUUCAGACCAAGACGGCAGAUUUUCAACCUUAGCUCACUUUGUACUGCCAUUAGUUUUCAAAUUGCUGUAAUUUUAUUUUUUAAAGAGAAAUCCUUAUCAGUCUAACAGUAACAAGGCGAUAUUUUAACCUAGAGAUUUGCUGUGAAUGUCCUCCAUGGCCUCUGAUUUCUUUUUCCAUUUGAAAUGGUCAGGUAACAGAGUAAUGGAAUUCAGAGUUUAAACAUUUUUUUAAAUUAAAUUAAAAAACAAAACAAAGCAGACUUAAUGCGUUUAUAUGGGUAACUAUUUGGUUGUUUGUUUUAAUGGUAAUUGAGGUUUUUUUUUUUUAACUCAUGCUAUUAUUUUACUGCUAUUUGAAUUCUUUGAUAUCACAUUAAUUUUAACCAAAUAAUAUCAUUUCUGGACAUAUUUGUACUUAUUAUAAAACCAUUUUAUAGUCUCACAUAAUGCACAUGGUUCUAAGAGAUUUUAUUCUCUUGUUUGUAAAAUUGUGUGUUGAAUUUAUUAUUGUUGUUUACCUGAGUUUAUUGGACGAGAAAUACAGCGGAUAUUAAUACGGAUUGCCAUUCUACAGUAAUGUUUAUGUCCAAAAUAAAGCAAGUACUGACCAGUA